This 148-nucleotide signal recognition particle RNA is filed under the name Gorilla gorilla gorilla (western lowland gorilla). RNAcentral describes it as "Metazoan signal recognition particle RNA". It matches the Rfam family "Metazoan signal recognition particle RNA". From Rfam's summary of the family: The signal recognition particle (SRP) is a universally conserved ribonucleoprotein. It is involved in the co-translational targeting of proteins to membranes. The record is from Rfam by way of RNAcentral. Lineage: Eukaryota; Metazoa; Chordata; Mammalia; Primates; Hominidae.
GCCGGGCGUGGUGGCGGGCGCCUGUAAUCCCAGCUACUUGGGAGGCUGAGGCAGGAGAAUUGCUUGAACCUGGGAGGCGGAGGUUGCAGUGAGCCGAGAUCGCACCACUGUACUCCAGCCUGGGUGACAGAGCAAGACUCUGUCUCAA